This 250-nucleotide ribosomal RNA is filed under the name uncultured bacterium. Its description in RNAcentral is "partial 16S ribosomal RNA". It matches the Rfam family "Bacterial small subunit ribosomal RNA", at positions 524 to 773 of the family's 1533-position model. The record is from RNAcentral.
UACAGGGGGGGCAAGCGUUGUUCGGAAUUACUGGGCGUAAAGGGUUUGUAGGUGGCUCGCUAAGUCAGACGUGAAAUCCCUCAGCUUAACUGGGGAACUGCGUCUGAUACUGGUGAGCUUGAGUGCAGGAGAGGAACGCGGAAUUCCAGGUGUAGCGGUGAAAUGCGUAGAUAUCUGGAGGAACACCGGUGGCGAAGGCGGCGUUCUGGACUGCAACUGACACUGAGAGACGAAAGCCAGGGGAGCAAAC